RNAcentral lists this unclassified non-coding RNA (370 nucleotides) under Lysimachia remyi subsp. remyi. RNAcentral describes it as "partial external transcribed spacer". The record is from RNAcentral. Lineage: Eukaryota; Viridiplantae; Streptophyta; Magnoliopsida; Ericales; Primulaceae.
UUUGAUCCCUGCUUGCGCAGCGAACUUUUGCCCAGCAAUACUUAUCAUUUGUUGCUUCGAGUGACAUUUGUCCUCGAGCGACCRUCGGGUUUCUGUGUAGGAUACCUUAAGAAGGUAUUCAGCGACAAAAGCUUAAAAAUUUCGUCUCAUGCCACCACUUGGUAACGAGAUGAACCCCGAGGCACCUAUUGUGCUCCCACGCAGGCUUUAUGACCGUCGCGUGCGUGGUGCAUGGUAUGGCUGCUCGUGUUCUCGGAUACGGAAGAUUCUAUGGCUAGGCUGUCUUUCUUGCGGCUGUUGCUGAAAAAUAUAUUCCAUGUCGGAACGACCRUCUUGCAUCGUCUCAACGAUGCUGAUGUCGUGAAGGAAU